RNAcentral lists this ribosomal RNA (119 nucleotides) under Homo sapiens (human). Lineage: Eukaryota; Metazoa; Chordata; Mammalia; Primates; Hominidae. The record is from RNAcentral.
GUCUAUGGCUACACCACCCUGAACAUGCCAGAUCUCAUCUGAUCUCAGAAGCUGGGCAGGGUGGGGCCUGGUUAGUACUUGCAUGGAAGACUGCCUGGAAAUACUGGGUGCUGUAGACU